AUUGAACGCUGGCGGCAUGCCUUACACAUGCAAGUCGAACGGCAGCACGGGAGCAAUCCUGGUGGCGAGUGGCGAACGGGUGAGUAAUAUAUCGGAACGUGCCCGGUCGUGGGGAUAACGUAGCGAAAGCUACGCUAAUACCGCAUACGAUCUACGGAUGAAAGCGGGGGGAUCGCAAGACCUCGCGCGAUUGGAGCGGCCGAUAUCAGAUUAGGUAGUUGGUGAGGUAAAGGCUCACCAAGCCGACGAUCUGUAGCUGGUCUGAGAGGACGACCAGCCACACUGGGACUGAGACACGGCCCAGACUCCUACGGGAGGCAGCAGUGGGGAAUUUUGGACAAUGGGCGCAAGCCUGAUCCAGCAAUGCCGCGUGCAGGAUGAAGGCCUCGGUUGUU
RNAcentral lists this ribosomal RNA (395 nucleotides) under uncultured bacterium. RNAcentral describes it as "bacterial SSU rRNA". It matches the Rfam family "Bacterial small subunit ribosomal RNA", at positions 30 to 427 of the family's 1533-position model. The record is from RNAcentral.